CACGGCCCAAACUCUACGGGAGGCAGCAGUGGGGAAUCUUGCACAAUGGAGGAAACUCUGAUGCAGCGAUGCCGCGUGAGUGAAGAAGGCCUUUGGGUUGUAAAGCUCUUUCGUCGGGGAAGAAAAUGACUGUACCCGAAUAAGAAGGUCCGGCUAACUUCGUGCCAGCAGCCGCGGUAAUACGAAGGGACCUAGCGUAGUUCGGAAUUACUGGGCUUAAAGAGUUCGUAGGUGGUUGAAAAAGUUGGUGGUGAAAUCCCAGAGCUUAACUCUGGAACUGCCAUCAAAACUUUUCAGCUAGAGUUUGAUAGAGGAAAGCAGAAUUUCUAGUGUAGAGGUGAAAUUCGUAGAUAUUAGAAAGAAUACCAAUUGCGAAGGCAGCUUUCUGGAUCAUUACUGACACUGAGGAACGAAAGCAUGGGUAGCGAAGAGGAUUAGAUACCCUCGUAGUCCAUGCCGUAAACGAUGUGUGUUAGACGUUGGAAAUUUAUUUUCAGUGUCGCAGCGAAAGCGAUAAACACACCGCCUGGGGAGUACGACCGCAAGGUUAAAACUCAAAUGAAUUGACGGGGACCCGCACAAGUAGUGGAGCAUGUGGUUUAAUUCGAAGAUACGCGCAGAACCUUACCAACACUUGACAUGUUCGUCGCGACUUUAAGAGAUUAAAGUUUUCGGUUCGGCCGGACGAAACACAGGUGCUGCAUGGCUGUCGUCAGCUCGUGUCGUGAGAUGUUGGGUUAAGUCCCGCAACGAGCGCAACCCUCACUUUUAGUUGCCAUCAUUUAGUUGGGCACUCUGAAAGAACUGCCAGUGAUAAGCUGGAGGAAGGUGGGGAUGACGUCAAGUCCUCAUGGCCCUUACGUGUUGGGCUACACACGUGCUACAAUGGUAUCUACAACAGGAAGCGAAACGGCGA
This 916-nucleotide ribosomal RNA is filed under the name marine metagenome. RNAcentral describes it as "bacterial SSU rRNA". It matches the Rfam family "Bacterial small subunit ribosomal RNA", at positions 325 to 1260 of the family's 1533-position model. The record is from RNAcentral.